AACGAACGCUGGCGGCAGGCCUAACACAUGCAAGUCGAGCGGUAAGGCCCCUUCGGGGGUACACGAGCGGCGGACGGCUGAGUAACACGUAGGAACGUACCCCAAAGUGAGGGAUAAGCACCAGAAAUGGUGUCUAAUACCGCAUGUGCUCUAAGGAGUAAAGCUUCGGCGCUUUGGGAACGGCCUGCGCAUGAUUAGCUUGUUGGUGAGGUAAUGGCUCACCAAGGCGACGAUCAUUAGCUGGUCUGAGAGGAUGACCAGCCAGACUGGGACUGAGAACGGCCCAGACUCCUACGGGAGGCAGCAGUAGGGAAUUUUCCACAAUGGGCGAAAGCCUGAUGGAGCAACGCCGCGUGCAGGAUGAAUGCCUUCGGGUUGUAAACUGCUUUUAUAUGUGACGAAUAUGACGGUAGCAUAUGAAUAAGGAUCGGCUAACUCCGUGCCAGCCGCCGCAGUAA
RNAcentral lists this ribosomal RNA (458 nucleotides) under uncultured bacterium. RNAcentral describes it as "partial 16S ribosomal RNA". It matches the Rfam family "Bacterial small subunit ribosomal RNA", at positions 29 to 523 of the family's 1533-position model. The record is from RNAcentral.